GAAAUUGUGUUGACGCAGUCUCCAGGCACCCUGUCUUUGUCUCCAGGGGAAAGAGCCACCCUCUCCUGCAGGGCCAGUCAGAGUGUUAGCAGCAGCUACUUAGCCUGGUACCAGCAGAAACCUGGCCAGGCUCCCAGGCUCCUCAUCUAUGGUGCAUCCAGCAGGGCCACUGGCAUCCCAGACAGGUUCAGUGGCAGUGGGUCUGGGACAGACUUCACUCUCACCAUCAGCAGACUGGAGCCUGAAGAUUUUGCAGUGUAUUACUGUCAGCAGUAUGGUAGCUCACCUCCCACAGUGAUUCAGCUUGAAACAAAAACCUCUGCA
Molecule: long non-coding RNA, 324 nt
Filed under: Homo sapiens (human)
Lineage: Eukaryota; Metazoa; Chordata; Mammalia; Primates; Hominidae
Description: non-protein coding lnc-EIF2AK3-4:58
Source: RNAcentral